GGUAUAUGAUGAAAAACAUAUUUAUCAGUUCUGCUGCUGAAGUAUCUGAUUAAACACUAUAACCAAAACAAAAUCUGAUAA
Molecule: small nucleolar RNA, 81 nt
Organism: Anopheles maculipalpis
Lineage: Eukaryota; Metazoa; Arthropoda; Insecta; Diptera; Culicidae
Source: RefSeq, a predicted model, not a curated record